AGUGAACGCUGGCGGUAGGCCUAACACAUGCAAGUCGAACGGCAGCACAGUAAGAGCUUGCUCUUACGGGUGGCGAGUGGUGGACGGGUGAGGAAUACAUCGGAAUCUACUUUUUCGUGGGGGAUAACGUAGGGAAACUUACGCUAAUACCGCAUACGACCUACGGGUGAAAGCAGGGGAUCUUCGGACCUUGCGCGAUUGAAUGAGCCGAUGUCGGAUUAGCUAGUUGGCGGGGUAAAGGCCCACCAAGGCGACGAUCCGUAGCUGGUCUGAGAGGAUGAUCAGCAACACUGGAACUGAGACACGGUCCAGACUCCUACGGGAGGCAGCAGUGGGGAAUAUUGGACAAUGGGCGCAAGCCUGAUCCAGCCAUACCGCGUGGGUGAAGAAGGCCUUCGGGUUGUAAAGCCCUUUUGUUGGGAAAGAAAAGCAGCAGGUUAAUACCCCGCUGUUCUGACGGUACCCAAAGAAUAAGCACCGGCUAACUUCGU
This 491-nucleotide ribosomal RNA is filed under the name uncultured bacterium. RNAcentral's name for it is "partial 16S ribosomal RNA". It matches the Rfam family "Bacterial small subunit ribosomal RNA", at positions 29 to 506 of the family's 1533-position model. The record is from RNAcentral.